RNAcentral lists this unclassified non-coding RNA (326 nucleotides) under Hevea brasiliensis (rubber tree). Lineage: Eukaryota; Viridiplantae; Streptophyta; Magnoliopsida; Malpighiales; Euphorbiaceae. The record is from RNAcentral.
AGAUGGUGAGAGUACCAAAAGGCAUUGAAACCAGUGAGCUUCUUGAGGAAAGUGGGCAAAUUAAGCCUGUUACGCCUGAACCAAGGGGUAGCUAGUGUAAAGGCUAUCGCCAUCAAUAUCACCAUUAUGAUCCCGGUCACUCCCUCGACUGAUUUGACAAAAUGCCAGUAGCUAGAAGGUUGAUCCCCAAAGAAUGGCUGCAUAAGCUUCCACUUCUCUUCGCUUGCUUGAAGAAGCCGAGGGAAAUCACAGGCUAAAUGAGAAAUCCCAUGCAGACCAACUCCAAUUGUAAUCCCCACUGCUAUCACCUUGUGGAAAUUGAGGUU